CGAGGGCAGCUUACCCCGCCACAGGCCUCCCUGCGCCUCUUCACCGUGGCAGGCUCAGCCUAGCCCCCAAACCCAGCCCUGCUGGCUGCCUAUGCCCAGAACCCCUCCCCCAGAUCUACAGGCCACCAAGCUGGUCAUUCGGGCCCCAGUCAGCGCUCACCUUUCAGGGAGCCUUCCCCGACCCCCAGGAGAGCUUCCCCACCUGCCCCCUCCACUCACGGGACCUCACGCCUCCUGCUUCAUUUUCUUGCGGAACUUUUCGUUCUCUGAAACUGUCUUUUUAUGCACAUUAUUCUUUUACUUGUGUUUGCUGUUUGCCUGUCUCCCUCCCACAAGAAUGUAAGUUCCAGCAGGACAGGCCCCUGCCCGCCUUUUCAGCAUCGUGUUGCUGUUGCCUGUAGUAACGCCUGGGCUGGGAGCAACGGGCCUGAAUCACACGGGCCACAGGAGACGGAAAGCAUGGGGGUGCCUUGAGGUCCUCGCAUUGGGGGUAAACUAAUUUUAACUAAAUCUCCAAGGGGUCUUCAAGGAACAUCUGGUUCAUAUGAAGAAACAGAGGUUUUGAGAGGUUAAUUGACAUCUCUAACAUGGCAUAGGCAGCAUCCGAACCCAGAGCACUGUGUUCCUCUGCUUCUCCAUGUGAUUCUGGCGCACUGUGAGUGUUGAAGACCACUGAAAUCAUAGGGCAAGAUGCUUUACACAGUGACUACGAAUAAUGAAGCUCCCUCUGUCUUCCCAACUCUGGGUCAGACACUCCAUGGGAGAAGGGGAGUCCCGUUGCAGAUGAAGAAACUGGGCCUCGGAGGUUUAAGGAAAUUGCUCGGUGUCUAGUCCCUCUUCUGUCAGAAGAUUCAGACCAGGCAUCCAGGUGACCUGGCCCUGCGGGACCGAGCAGGACGGUGGGACCGCCUGUUACUUGCAGCCGCGACAUCGGGCAGGGAGAGUUUGCGCGUCAAGGAGGAGAAGCAGGAGCGAACUGGCCUUUGAUGCUCACGAAAGAACGUAGACAUAUUCGUGUUCAUGGCAUCCAGGAGGCCACGUCUAAACAGUACAAACUCUUUGUGUGACAUGAUGAAUCCCCUUGAGGGACCCAGAAGGGACAGGAGACAUGUGGGAUCAAAGCAAGCAAGCAGCUGAGCUGUGAUCUGAACUCAGUGUGCGUGGCUCCAAAGCUCAGCAUUGCUCUCCACCAUAUUGUGUGCUGCCUGCCCAGACACCGUGUGCGCUGCAAGGAGACAUCGGCAAGGGCUCUCGUCCUCCAGGAGCUUUCAGCUCAGCUGUAUGACAGCGCUGGAACAUAAGAGCAUCCGUGGAGCUGCCUCAUUGUUAUAAGUCAUAAAGUGGGGUCCCCAGACAGGCAGCAUCAACGCCACCUUGGAACUUGUUAGACAUGCAAAUAAGUUAGAAACUCUGGAAACGGCAUCUUAACCAGCUCUCUGGAUCGUUCUGAUGCACACUAAGUUCAAGAACCAGAGUUCCAGACUUUCUGAAUAAGUCUGGGGCCCCACCUGAUCAAGACUGCUGGUGCUCGCAUGUCCAUGUACCAGAGGAACCUGUGGACAGAGAACCACAUUGUCAGACUCUCGUGGCCAUGUCUUUCCACUGUACCUACUGGGAAGAAAAAUAAAAAGCA
Equus asinus (donkey) is the source of this 1633-nucleotide long non-coding RNA. The record is from Ensembl. NCBI's taxonomy places the organism in Eukaryota, Metazoa, Chordata, Mammalia, Perissodactyla, Equidae.